AUUCAGCGUCUCCAGGUUCGUUCGAUUCUCACUCAUCUCCUUCAAUCUCCAAUUCUCUAGUUUCAAAAUUUUGACGAAUUGAAAUUGAAUUACUCUCUUUUGUUUUGAAAUUGAAGGAAUAUUGGGCUUCCGUGGAUGUGCCGUUAUGCAACCAAGUAACACUGAGGUCGGAGCUCGCACCAUGAAUCCUUGUACCUUUUUGAGGGUUCUUGGUCCUGAACCAUGAAAUGUUGCUUAUGUUGAGCCAAGCAUACGUCCAGACGAUUCUCGCUAUGGAGAAAAUCCCAAUAGGCUUCAAAGACACACUCAAUUUCAAGUCAUAUUGAAACCUAACCUUGGAAACUCUCAACAACUCUUUAUCAACAGUCUUUCUGCUUUAGGUUGAUGUGAUUGCGCAUGAUAUACGGUUUGUAGAAGACAACUAGGAGAGCUCGGUAAUGUGUGAACCAUGUUUUUUUUGGGUUUUCCAUCUCUUUUAGUUUCUCACUAUAUUCUCAGGUGCUUGGUCAGUUGUUAAUA
Long non-coding RNA from Arabidopsis thaliana (thale cress), 519 nucleotides. RefSeq annotates it as other RNA. The record is from RefSeq. The transcript is spliced from 2 exons. NCBI's taxonomy places the organism in Eukaryota, Viridiplantae, Streptophyta, Magnoliopsida, Brassicales, Brassicaceae.